CAGGCUUAACACAUGCAAGUCGAGGGGCAGCAUGGUCUUAGCUUGCUAAGGCCGAUGGCGACCGGCGCACGGGUGAGUAACACGUAUCCAACCUGCCGUCUACUCUUGGACAGCCUUCUGAAAGGAAGAUUAAUACAAGAUGGCAUCAUGAGUCCACAUGUUCACAUGAUUAAAGGUAUUCCGGUAGCCGAUGGGGAUGCGUUCCAUUAGAUAGUAGGCGGGGUAACGGCCCACCUAGUCUUCGAUGGAUAGGGGUUCUGAGAGGAAGGUCCCCCACAUUGGAACUGAGACACGGUCCAAACUCCUACGGGAGGCAGCAGUGAGGAAUAUUGGUCAAUGGGCGAGAGCCUGAACCAGCCAAGUAGCGUGAAGGAUGACUGCCCUAUGGGUUGUAAACUUCUUUUAUAAAGGAAUAAAGUCGGGUAUGCAUACCCGUUUGCAUGUACUUUAUGAAUAAGGAUCGGCUAACUCCGUGCCAGCAGCCGCGGUAAUACGGAGGAUCCGAGCGUUAUCCGGAUUUAUUGGGUUUAAAGGGAGCGUAGAUGGAUGUUUAAGUCAGUUGUGAAAGUUUGCGGCUCAACCGUAAAAUUGCAGUUGAUACUGGAUAUCUUGAGUGCAGUUGAGGCAGGCGGAAUUCGUGGUGUAGCGGUGAAAUGCUUAGAUAUCACGAAGAACUCCGAUUGCGAAGGCAGCCUGCUAAGCUGCAACUGACAUUGAGGCUCGAAAGUGUGGGUAUCAAACAGGAUUAGAUACCCUGGUAGUCCACACGGUAAACGAUGAAUACUCGCUGUUUGCGAUAUACUGCAAGCGGCCAAGCGAAAGCGUUAAGUAUUCCACCUGGGGAGUACGCCGGCAACGGUGAAACUCAAAGGAAUUGACGGGGGCCCGCACAAGCGGAGGAACAUGUGGUUUAAUUCGAUGAUACGCGAGGAACCUUACCCGGGCUUAAAUUGCAGAUGAAUUACGGUGAAAGCCGUAAGCCGCAAGGCAUCUGUGAAGGUGCUGCAUGGUUGUCGUCAGCUCGUGCCGUGAGGUGUCGGCUUAAGUGCCAUAACGAGCGCAACCCUUGUUGUCAGUUACUAACAGGUUCCGCUGAGGACUCUGACAAGACUGCCAUCGUAAGAUGUGAGGAAGGUGGGGAUGACGUCAAAUCAGCACGGCCCUUACGUCCGGGGCUACACACGUGUUACAAUGGGGGGUACAGAGGGCCGCUACCACGCGAGUGGAUGCCAAUCCCAAAAACCUCUCUCAGUUCGGACUGGAGUCUGCAACCCGACUCCACGAAGCUGGAUUCGCUAGUAAUCGCGCAUCAGCCACGGCGCGGUGAAUACGUUCCCGGGCCUUGUACACACCGCCCGUCAAGCCAUGGGAGCCGGGGGUACCUGAAGUGCGUAACCGCGAGGAGCGCCCUAGGGUAAAACUGGUGACUGGGGC
Molecule: ribosomal RNA, 1434 nt
Filed under: uncultured organism
Description: 16S ribosomal RNA
Rfam family: Bacterial small subunit ribosomal RNA
Source: RNAcentral